Molecule: ribosomal RNA, 734 nt
Filed under: uncultured bacterium
Lineage: Bacteria
Description: bacterial SSU rRNA
Rfam family: Bacterial small subunit ribosomal RNA
Source: RNAcentral
GGUCCUGAUUUUAUCAGGAUAGUGGCGAACGGGUGAGUAACGCGUAAGUUACCUGCCCCUAAGAGGGGAAUAACCUCGGGAAACCGGGGCUAAUACCGCAUGUGGUGGUGGAGUUAGGCUUCACCACUAAAGCCUUUGGGCGCUUGGGGAUGGGCUUGCGGCCGAUUAGCUAGUUGGUGGGGUAAUGGCCUACCAAGGCUAUGAUCGGUAGCUGGUCUGAGAGGACGGUCAGCCACACUGGGACUGAGACACGGCCCAGACUCCUACGGGAGGCAGCAGCAAGGAAUUUUGGGCAAUGGGCGAAAGCCUGACCCAGCAACACCGCGUGGGGGAUGAAGGCCUUCGGGUCGUAAACCCCUUUUCCCAGGGAAGAAUAAUGACGGUACCUGGGGAAUAAGUCUCGGCUAACUACGUGCCAGCAGCCGCGGUAAUACGUAGGAGGUAAGCGUUAUCCGGAUUUACUGGGCGUAAAGAGGGCGUAGGCGGCUUUUCAAGUCGGAUGUGAAAUCUCCCGGCUCAACUGGGAGGGGUCAUUCGAUACUGAUGGGCUAGAGUGCAGCAGGGGGAGACGGAAUUCCCGGUGUAGUGGUGAUAUGCGUAGAUACCGGGAGGAACACCAGAGGCGAAGGCGGUCUCCCAGGCUGUUGCUGACGCUGAGGCCCGAAAGCGUGGGUAGCGAACAGGAUUAGAUACCCUGGUAGUCCACGCCGUAAACGAUGGACACUAGGUAUGGG